GGGGUUUUAGCUCAAUUGGUAGAGCGCGGGUCUUGCAUGUCCGAGGUUUCAGGUUCGAUGCCUGUAAACUCCA
Molecule: transfer RNA, 73 nt
Filed under: Plenaster craigi
Lineage: Eukaryota; Metazoa; Porifera; Demospongiae; Axinellida; Stelligeridae
Description: tRNA-Ala
Rfam family: tRNA
About the family: Transfer RNA (tRNA) molecules are approximately 80 nucleotides in length. Their secondary structure includes four short double-helical elements and three loops (D, anti-codon, and T loops).
Source: RNAcentral